AACGUAGGAGACAAACGUUAUCCGGAGUUACUGGGCGUAAAGGGCGUGUAGGUGGUUUCGUAAGUCUGGCGUGAAAUUUUUCGGCUUAACCGGGAAAGGUCGUCGGAUACUGCGGAACUAGAGGACGGUAGAGGCGUGUGGAAUUCCGGGUGUAGUGGUGAAAUGCGUAGAGAUCCGGAGGAACACCAGUGGCGAAGGCGACACGCUGGUCCGUACCUGACACUGAUGCGCGACAGCAUGGGGAGCAAACAGG
RNAcentral lists this ribosomal RNA (253 nucleotides) under uncultured bacterium. RNAcentral describes it as "partial 16S ribosomal RNA". It matches the Rfam family "Bacterial small subunit ribosomal RNA", at positions 524 to 776 of the family's 1533-position model. The record is from RNAcentral.